UUAUUUAGUUUUAUAGGGGAAAAAGUGAAAAUAUUAUUUAUUAUAUUGUAGAGGGGAGGCUAUAAUGUAAUUUAUAAUAAAAAAUUCAUUUAUUGUACCUUUUGUAUCAGGGUUAAUUUAAAUUUAAGUUUAAGAAUUUUUUCUCGACAAAAAAAGAUUUAGAAAAUUAAAGUGCUAAUGUUUUAUUAUUAGGCUUAAUAAUUAUCUAGUUUUGAAAAAAAUCAAGAUUUUUUUUAUCUAGUUACUUUUUAGUUGAUUUAAUCAGUUUUAUUUUUGUAAUUUAUUUAUAGUAAUAACAAAUACUUUCAGGGAUAAGCUUGAGUUUGGAAUUUUAGCUCUGUUUUAAUAAUAAUUUUGUAAGCUUAGAAUUAGCAAUUUUUUUAAUAUUUAAAAAUCAACUUAAUUUUUUUAAUGAUUUUAUAGUAGCUUUACGGGGAGGUAAAGUUAUUUAAUUUAAUUAUAAAAUUAAGAUAAUAAUGAUUAAAUUAGUAGAAUAAAAAGUGUAACUUAAGAAUUCGGCAAAAGUAAUUUUUGACUGUUUAACAAAAACAUUUCUGAGGGGAAAAUGUUUUUGGUAUAACCUGCUCAAUGCUUUAGUAAAUAGCUGCAGUAUUUUGACUGUACAAAGGUAGCAUAAUCAUUAGUCUUUUGAUUGAAGGCUUGUAUGAAUGGUUGAACAGAAUAUUAACUUUUUUAGUUGCACGAAAUUUUAAUUUGUAGUUUAUGUAAAAAUGCAUAAUUAUUUAAGAGGGACGAUAAGACCCUAUAGAAUUUGAAAGUAUUUGUUGGAAUUUUAUAUUUUUUUGUUGGGGUGACAUUAAAUAAACUUUUAUAAGAUUUUCAUUGAUGAGUGAUUAGAUGAUCCUGUAAUUUCAGAUAAAAAGAUAAAAUUACCUUAGGGAUAACAGCAUAAUUUUUUUUAAAAGAUCUUAUUAAUAAAAAAGAUUAUGACCUCGAUGUUGAAUUAAAAUAAAAUUUUGGUGUAGAAGCUAAUUUUUUUAGUCUGUUCGACUUUAUAUUUUACAUGAUUUGAGUUCAGACCGGCGUGAGCCAGGUUGGUUUCUAUCUUUUUAAAAUAUGUAUGAUUUAGUACGAAAGGACCAGUUAUACAAAUUUUUAUUGUAAAUUGUUGAAUAAAAUUAGCAUUAAAUC
This 1152-nucleotide ribosomal RNA is filed under the name Cacopsylla melanoneura. RNAcentral's name for it is "16S ribosomal RNA". Lineage: Eukaryota; Metazoa; Arthropoda; Insecta; Hemiptera; Psyllidae. The record is from RNAcentral.